This 99-nucleotide signal recognition particle RNA is filed under the name uncultured archaeon. RNAcentral's name for it is "Bacteria_small_SRP". The stretch from base 5 to 92 matches the Rfam family "Bacterial small signal recognition particle RNA". Rfam says of the family: The signal recognition particle (SRP) is a universally conserved ribonucleoprotein involved in the co-translational targeting of proteins to membranes. Archaeal SRP consists of a 7S RNA and homologues of the eukaryotic SRP19 and SRP54 proteins. The record is from RNAcentral.
UUCUCGUCCCGCUGGAUUGUCCGCCGUUGGAAUCGGGUCAGGCCCUGACGGGAGCAGCCCUAACAGCAGCGGACGAUGCUUGCGGGGUCACGGGGAAAA